This 253-nucleotide ribosomal RNA is filed under the name uncultured bacterium. Its description in RNAcentral is "partial 16S ribosomal RNA". It matches the Rfam family "Bacterial small subunit ribosomal RNA", at positions 524 to 776 of the family's 1533-position model. The record is from RNAcentral.
UACGUAGGGGGCAAGCGUUGUCCGGAAUCAUUGGGCGUAAAGAGCGCGUAGGCGGUCCGGUAAGUCCGCUCUGAAAGUCCGGGGCUCAACCCCGGGAGGCGGGCGGAUACUGUCGGGCUAGAGUCCGGAAGAGGCGAGUGGAAUUCCUGGUGUAGCGGUGAAAUGCGCAGAUAUCAGGAGGAACACCCGUAGCGAAGGCGGCACUCUGGGCCGAUACUGACACUGAGGAGCGAAAGCGUGGGGAGCGAACAGG